RNAcentral lists this ribosomal RNA (321 nucleotides) under Triticum aestivum (bread wheat). RNAcentral describes it as "partial small subunit ribosomal RNA". The record is from RNAcentral. Lineage: Eukaryota; Viridiplantae; Streptophyta; Magnoliopsida; Poales; Poaceae.
AUGGAUUUAAACCCAUCAAUAACGUGUUGGAAUGUUCGAGGAUUGAACAACCCAGCGAAGAGGCAAGUGGUCAAAGAUUUCCUAGUCUCGGUGCGGCCUAACUUAGUGUGCUUAGAAGAAACUAAGGUUGAUGUAGUGGACAACUUUCUCAUAAUGCAAUGUUGUGGGCGGUCAUUAGACGGAUUUGCUUAUUUGCCGGUGGCUGAUACGAGAGGAGGGAUCAUUCUAGCUUGGGACACCACCGUGCUGCUAGUCGAUCACAUCACGCGUGAUACGAACUCCAUCACUGGCUUGGUGCAUCCUAAGUCAGGGGACGAUUGA